RNAcentral lists this ribosomal RNA (635 nucleotides) under Brevibacterium linens. Its description in RNAcentral is "bacterial SSU rRNA". It matches the Rfam family "Bacterial small subunit ribosomal RNA", at positions 64 to 706 of the family's 1533-position model. The record is from RNAcentral. Lineage: Bacteria; Bacillati; Actinomycetota; Actinomycetes; Micrococcales; Brevibacteriaceae.
GAACGCUGAAGCCAGAAGCUUGCAUCUGGUGGAUGAGUGGCGAACGGUGUGAGUAACACGUGAGUAACCUGCCCCCGAUUUCGGGAUAAGCCCGGGAAACUGGGUCUAAUACCGGAUACGACCAACCCUCGCAUGAGGGUUGGUGGAAAGUUUUUCGAUCGGGGAUGGGCUCGCGGCCUAUCAGCUUGUUGGUGGGGUAAUGGCCUACCAAGGCGACGACGGGUAGCCGGCCUGAGAGGGCGACCGGCCACACUGGGACUGAGACACGGCCCAGACUCCUACGGGAGGCAGCAGUGGGGAAUAUUGCACAAUGGGGGAAACCCUGAUGCAGCGACGCAGCGUGCGGGAUGACGGCCUUCGGGUUGUAAACCGCUUUCAGCAGGGAAGAAGCCGUAAGGUGACGGUACCUGCAGAAGAAGUACCGGCUAACUACGUGCCAGCAGCCGCGGUAAUACGUAGGGUACGAGCGUUGUCCGGAAUUAUUGGGCGUAAAGAGCUCGUAGGUGGUUGGUCACGUCUGCUGUGGAAAACCAACGCUUAACGUUGCGCGUGCAGUGGGUACGGGCUGACUAGAGUGCAGUAGGGGAGUCUGGAAUUCCUGGUGUAGCGGUGAAAUGCGCAGAUAUCAGGAGGAA